RNAcentral lists this unclassified non-coding RNA (596 nucleotides) under Hevea brasiliensis (rubber tree). The record is from RNAcentral. Lineage: Eukaryota; Viridiplantae; Streptophyta; Magnoliopsida; Malpighiales; Euphorbiaceae.
UUGCUGCUAACGAGCCAAUUCUUUGUCUUAUAUGGGAACAGAUUGCAAUUCUCUAUACUGGGUCACUGGAUGAUAGAUCUGAUGCGGCAGCUUCGCUGGUUUCGCUGGCAAGAGACAACGAUCGCUACGGGAAGCUGAUUAUUGAAGAGGGAGGGGUUCCGCCUCUGCUGAAAUUGGUCAAAGAAGGGAAAAUGGAAGGCCAAGAGAACGCCGCAAGAGCGAUUGGUCUACUGGGUCGUGACACGGAAAGCGUCGAAUACAUGAUCCACGCAGGUGUUUGCAUUGUGUUUGCGAAAAUACUCAAAGAAGGUCCUAUGAAAGUUCAGGCAGUAGUGGCUUGGGCUGUUUCUGAGCUCGCAGCGAAUUAUCCCACAUGCCAAGAUCUUUUUGCGCAGCACAAUAUCAUUCGGUUGCUAGUUGGUCAUCUUGCAUUUGAGACGGUUCAAGAGCAUAGUAAGUAUGCCAUUACUAGUCACAAAGCCACUUCGAUCCAUGCGGUUCUGAUGGCUAGUAAUAGUUCGCCUACUGCUCAUAAUGUGAUAAAUCCAACAGUUGAUGAUGAUCCGUGUCGAAUUCCUCAUCCUAUGGGUAAUCAG